AGAUUCCAUUGUUCCACCCUGAACGCUCCCAAUCUUGUCUGAUCUCGGAAGCUAAGCAGGGUCGGGCCUGGUUAGUACUUGGAUGGGAGACUGCUUUUCAUUUUAAGAACAUAUCUU
Mesocricetus auratus (golden hamster) is the source of this 117-nucleotide ribosomal RNA. Lineage: Eukaryota; Metazoa; Chordata; Mammalia; Rodentia; Cricetidae. The record is from Ensembl.